This 424-nucleotide ribosomal RNA is filed under the name uncultured Alphaproteobacteria bacterium. RNAcentral describes it as "bacterial SSU rRNA". It matches the Rfam family "Bacterial small subunit ribosomal RNA", at positions 29 to 487 of the family's 1533-position model. Lineage: Bacteria; Pseudomonadati; Pseudomonadota; Alphaproteobacteria. The record is from RNAcentral.
AACGAACGCUGGCGGCAGGCCUAACACAUGCAAGUCGAACGGGAAGUUACCUUCGGGUAAUGGAUAGUGGCGCACGGGUGAGUAACGCGUGGGAAUUUACCUUUUAGUCUGGGAUAACAGUUGGAAACGACUGCUAAUACCGGAUACGCCCUUUGGGGGAAAGAUUUAUUGCUAAAAGAUAAGCCCGCGUCCAAUUAGGUAGUUGGUAGGGUAAUGGCCUACCAAGCCGACGAUUGGUAGCUGGUCUGAGAGGAUGACCAGUCACACUGGGACUGAGACACGGCCCAGACUCCUACGGGAGGCAGCAGUGGGGAAUAUUGGACAAUGGAGGCAACUCUGAUCCAGCCAUGCCGCGUGAGUGAAUGAAGGCCUUAGGGUUGUAAAGCUCUUUCAGAUGUGACGAUGAUGACGGUAGCAUCAGAAG